UAACUUGAGUGCAGAAGAGGGUAGUGGAACUCCAUGUGUAGCGGUGGAAUGCGUAGAUAUAUGGAAGAACACCAGUGGCGAAGGCGGCUACGUGGUCUGCAACUGACGCUGAGACUCGAAAGCAUGGGUAGCGAACAGGAUUAGAUACCUGGUAGUCCAUGCCGUAAACGAUGAGUGCUAGGUGUUGGAGGGUUUCCGCCCUUCAGUGCCGGAGCUAACGCAUUAAGCACUCCGCCUGGGGAGUACGACCGCAAGGUUGAAACUCAAAGGAAUUGACGGGGGCCCGCACAAGCGGUGGAGCAUGUGGUUUAAUUCGAAGCUACGCGAAGAACCUUACCAGGUCUUGACAUCUUGCGCCAACCCUAGAGAUAGGGCGUUUCCUUCGGGAACGCAAUGACAGGUGGUGCAUGGUCGUCGUCAGCUCGUGUCGUGAGAUGUUGGGUUAAGUCCCGCAACGAGCGCAACCCUUGUUACUAGUUGCCAGCAUUAAGUUGGGCACUCUAGUGAGACUGCCGGUGACAAACCGGAGGAAGGUGGGGACGACGUCAGAUCAUCAUGCCCCUUAUGACCUGGGCUACACACGUGCUACAAUGGACGGUACAACGAGUCGCGAACUCGCGAGGGCAAGCAAAUCUCUUAAAACCGUUCUCAGUUCGGACUGCAGGCUGCAACUCGCCUGCACGAAGUCGGAAUCGCUAGUAAUCGCGGAUCAGCAUGCCGCGGUGAAUACGUUCCCGGGCCUUGUACACACCGCCCGUCACACCAUGAGAGUUUGUAACACCCAAAGUCGGUGGGGUAACCUAUAGGAGCC
Molecule: ribosomal RNA, 811 nt
Filed under: Limosilactobacillus fermentum
Lineage: Bacteria; Bacillati; Bacillota; Bacilli; Lactobacillales; Lactobacillaceae
Description: bacterial SSU rRNA
Rfam family: Bacterial small subunit ribosomal RNA
Source: RNAcentral